RNAcentral lists this ribosomal RNA (253 nucleotides) under uncultured bacterium. RNAcentral describes it as "partial 16S ribosomal RNA". It matches the Rfam family "Bacterial small subunit ribosomal RNA", at positions 524 to 776 of the family's 1533-position model. The record is from RNAcentral.
UACGGGGGGAGCAAGCGUUGUUCGGAUUUACUGGGCGUAAAGCGCGCGUAGGCGGCUUUUCAAGUCGAUUGUGAAAUCCCCGGGCUUAACCUGGGAACUGCAGUCGAGACUGUCUAGCUAGAGUAUGGGAGAGGGAAGUGGAAUUUCAGGUGUAGCGGUGAAAUGCGUAGAUAUCUGAAGGAACAUCAGCGGCGAAAGCGACUUCCUGGACCAAUACUGACGCUCAUGUGCGAAAGCGUGGGGAGCAAACAGG